CUGAUCUGGUUCGACAACUUCCACCACAUCUGGUGGAGUAUCAGUGACCACAAAGUACGUUGUACAAAAAUAGCAAUAGAAAAACACAAAGUCAAUCACACAUGUUUUAGACUACAGUAUAGGCAAUCAUUUUAUAUACAAUUGCAUUGUAUACCUCAGUAAACAGCUGCAACUCCCAUCCUUACAGUAGGUGAUAGGGUGAGUACUCUGGAGGCCUGGAAGAUGCUGUUGUGUGCAAAGAUAAUUACGAUAUAAUUUAAGAUAUUGAAAUGUCUGAUUAUGUACCAUGGAAAAACAAAAACUAAUUGUAAAAAUAAACUAACACAAACCAUUGCUGACAGAAAAUAACCUAUAACAACUCUACCUUGUUCCAGAGUUUACGACCUCGGUUACUCAAGAUGACCUCAGGAGAACCAUGGGUGUUUGAAGAUGUCCAUCAUCGCCUUGGAGGUGGCCUCGCCAGUCUGAGCUUAAUGGUUAUUGCCUCCACCCAAUUGGUAAAAUAAUCGGUCGCCAUCAGGCUAGACAGGUACUCAUCUUUAUGCACAAGCUGUCCACUUCCUUGACAAUCCCAUGCCAAAAGAAGUGUCUGUAGAUUUUGGCAAUCAUGCGCUUGACUCCGAAUGGCCAACAUGCAUCUCGGUCAGCAUGGUCUCCGUCUCCUCAGUGAAAAGUACCCUCCUGUGUGGCUGGCCAUCCUUCCCCCGGGGACACUAUUUGGCAUGACAGGCUCUUUGAUUUUUCAUUUGUUUUCCAUAAAUGACGACUGUAGUGGAAGGAUGAGAAGGGUGAUACUCCUGACUGGCUGGCGUUCCCAUGGAAGUCCUGGGGUCACUGACGAUAUGAAAAUGUGAAUCAACUAAAUUAAUGUUACUGUGUGAAUUAUAUUGUCAUGUUUGGAUUGUUAAAGAGUUCGUAAAGAGCUAUGAAUGUUGAUAUAUUUUUUUGCACUGUUCAUAGUGAGCGACACAAGGGUGCGCUCCUAUCAUUUAAAUAUAGCUGAUUAGAUUAGAAUCUUGUUGUGUUUUCCUUUCUUUGACUUCCCCGCGCCUUAUGUGUACACAAUUCUUCUAAAUGUAAUACUAUUAAUAAGCUUGAAAUGUUUUCCUAUUAUUUCGCAUAGGUUAAUCACUGUGAUGAAUUAUAUUUACUAUCUUCUGCUGUUUUAUGAAUAAACAGGCAUGGGUAAAAACAACAACAAAAACGUUUCGAUGCUCCGCAUAGGCCCUUUAAUUUUUCAUUUGUUUUCCAUGAAUGAUGACUGUAUAGUGGAAGAUUGAGAGAAGAUGAUAUACUCGCGACUGGUGACUGGCUGGCGUGCAAAGCCCAGCAUGAUGACUCAAUCAUGAUUUAUUACAUUGUCUGGAUGGCAGACCACCUGUGGGCUAUCACAAGGUUCAAACAUACCUUAUCUGUGGCGAUCUCUAAGAAGAGGCCUUCUCAUGGAAGUCCUUGGGUCACUGGACGCCAGGGGAGGUGCGAAGACAGAUCAACGAAAUUAAUGUUACUGUGUAAAUUAAAUUGUCAUGUUUGAAUUUCUCAAGAGUUCACAAAGAGUCACGAAUUUGUAUAUAUUUUAUUGUACUGUAAGUGCUAUGGAUAUAUUGUUACACGGAGUGUUAUUUUGUUCGUCGGGCAGCCGAUAGUUCAACGAGGGAGUGACACAAUGCGCUCCUAUCAUUUACAUUGAGUUUAUUAGAUUCGAAUCUGGCUGUGAUUUCCUGUCUUUCGUUAAAACUAGCAUAGUGCAAAGAAAUGUUAAUUCGAGUUGUGCGUGAGUUUCUGAUUGAAUUUGGUUAAAAGGACAGUGAAUUUGUUCAUACUUUGAGAACUUGCUACCAAGCUCGUGUGUAUCAGAAAAAAACAUUGUGUUUUCUCUUAGAGACUAUUCUGAACUGAAGACGUGUUACCACGUUGUUUUAGCCUAUUGGUGAUAGUCAUAUACUCUGUAAUUCUGUAAUGUAUAAUGUAUUUCAUGUACACUGUAAUUGUCUGAGUGUCAAUUCUUUCAUCCUAUUAGUUAAAUAGAGUAACUGCAUUCCUCGUUUUACAGAGUAAUUAUUUGAUUGACCAAAUGCUUAUAAUUUAGAAGGUCUAUUGGUAGUUGUUAUUUACACAUACCGUAGCAUACUCUUGGGUACCACCUUGACAUCUCUGAUCUGCUUGCCUCAAUUAAUUAAUAUUAGAACAUUGGUUGCCAGGAUUAGUUAUUUGUAUCAAGUCUCUUAAUAAUUGCAUAACGGUGUAAGUUAGAAAUGUUCAUUAUAGUCAUACUGAGUCAGUGAUACAAUGAUUCACUAUCUUGCUAGAUCCUCCAGAGAUGCACAGGGCCUGUGGAUUUUUUUUUUUUUACAGAAAACCACGGCAAUAAAGGUGCUAUCUAGAUCCUAAAAUGAUUAUUCCGCUGUCCCCAUAGGAGAACCCUUUUUUUUCCAGGUAGAACCCUUUGGUGCCUAGGUAGAACAAUGUUGUGUUCCAUCCUACAGAUGGUUCUACAUGGAACCCAAAAGGGUUGUUACUCGAUCCAAAAAGGGUUCUUUAAAGGGUGCUCCCAUGGUAACUGCCGUAUAACCCUUUGGAACCGCUUUUUCAACGAGUUCAACCUGUUCAGUUUACACCAUUUCAUGUCUACUCCAACAUCUGCCUGGUAUUCAAAAUAAAACGACAUAAACACCACCACCUUUGAACGUUUUCGUCAACCUCUGCUCAGACUUAAAUAGCAGUGUCCCAAGAACCUCCUCCUGUAGUGACUGUAGCAUCCUCAAACUGUCCACCUUCUUCUACCAAACUGCCUUCUCAUACAAAGCAAUAAAUACAUGAAAUGGCCUCAUCUGAACAUGGAUCAAGUCCAAUCAGACGUGCGCACACUGAAUUUGAUCUAAUAGGUAACAGUGAUAUUUUUAAUGCAAUAGAAUACACACUAAAAACACAUUACAUUUCAAUAGGUGCAAUAAGUUAGUUUGAUUACUUUGAUUAGAUUAUGUGUUUGUGUCUUUUACAAGUCAAAUGUACACUAGCCUACUCCACUAUCGACACAGUAAAUAAUAUUGCCUACGUGCUUUCGACAAUGCGUUAUCAACUCGUUAUCAACAAAAAAGUACUUGGACUUAUAAACACAGUAGGCCUAGAUAUUUCCUAACGAUAUCACAACUUAAAUAUAGCCUACUUAGUCCUCAAUUGGAUCAAGGACAUCUUGGUCAUUCUUUUCAUCAUCUCUAAAGAAACUAUCUUGGGCAGACACUCGAAAAUAAAUUAAUGUCUGUGUCGCUGCUGUGCUCUCAAAUACCGUGCCCGUCUCUCACUCUAUCUGGAUUCCCUGGGAAGUCCUUACCCUAAACCAUAAACUAACAUUAAACUAAACCAUGUUACAUUUAUUCUUGCCUCGUAGCCUAGUGGUUAGAGCAUUGUGCCAGUAACCAAAAGGUUGCUAGAUUGAAUCCCUGAGCUGACAAGGUAAAAAAAAAAAAUCUGUCGUUCUGCAACCUGAACAAGGCAGUUAACCCACUGUCCCUAGGCCAUCAUUGUUAAGAAGAAUUUGUUCUUAACUGACUUGCCGAGUUAAAAAUAAAAAAUAAAAAAAAAAUAGAGGUAGGAACAUCCC
This 3601-nucleotide long non-coding RNA is filed under the name Oncorhynchus kisutch (coho salmon). RNAcentral's name for it is "lncRNA (ENSOKIG00005032848.1)". Lineage: Eukaryota; Metazoa; Chordata; Actinopteri; Salmoniformes; Salmonidae. The record is from RNAcentral.